UUGAACGCUGGCGGCAUGCCUUACACAUGCCAGUCGCACGGCAGCACGGGUGCUUGCACCUGGUGGCGCGUGGCGAACGGGUGAGUAAUACAUCGGAACAUGUCCUGUAGUGGGGGAUAGCCCGGCGAAAGCCGGAUUAAUACCGCAUACGAUCCACGGAUGAAAGCGGGGGACCUUCGGGCCUCGCGCUAUAGGGUUGGCCGAUGGCUGAUUAGCUAGUUGGUGGGGUAAAGGCCUACCAAGACGACGAUCAGUAGCUGGUCUGAGAGGACGACCAGCCACACUGGGACUGAGACACGGCCCAGACUCCUACGGGAGGCAGCAGUGGGGAAUUUUGGACAAUGGGCGAAAGCCUGAUCCAGCAAUGCCGCGUGUGUGAAGAAGGACUUCGGGUUGUAAAGCACUUUUGUCCGGAAAGAAAUCCUUGACUCUAAUACAGUCGGGGGAUGACGGUACCGGAAGAAUAAGCACCGGCUAACUACGUG
This 485-nucleotide ribosomal RNA is filed under the name uncultured bacterium. Its description in RNAcentral is "partial 16S ribosomal RNA". It matches the Rfam family "Bacterial small subunit ribosomal RNA", at positions 30 to 507 of the family's 1533-position model. The record is from RNAcentral.